GCCAGACAUGGUGGUGCAUGCCUGUAAUCCCAGUGGCUCAGGAGGCUGAGAUAGGAGGAUUGGGAGUUCAAAGCCAGCCUCAGCAACAGCGAGGCACUAAUGAGACCCUGUCUCUA
Molecule: small RNA, 116 nt
Filed under: Marmota monax (woodchuck)
Lineage: Eukaryota; Metazoa; Chordata; Mammalia; Rodentia; Sciuridae
Source: RNAcentral